This 522-nucleotide long non-coding RNA is filed under the name Elaeis guineensis (African oil palm). Its description in RNAcentral is "long non-coding RNA (EGUI_LNC015025)". Lineage: Eukaryota; Viridiplantae; Streptophyta; Magnoliopsida; Arecales; Arecaceae. The record is from RNAcentral.
UGGUUCACCCAUGAAAUCAGGGUAUUUCAUAAAGCAUAUAGUAGAGAAUGGUGAAACUGAAUGAUGAAUCAGAUAUUUGUGAUAAAUUGUAUUGUUACGAAACGUCGUAAGCAUCAAUCAGCCCUGAAAGCCAAUUCCUGAUCAUAACAAAUGAUUCAAGGUAGAGGAAUGGAUUUCUUCACAAGUGAUAUGAACAUCCACAUUUCUGUACCCUAUCAUCAUCCACCCUCAUGUCAAAUGUUGAAAGAACAUCCGCCAUCAAUUUGAUGAGGCUCUGCAUAAAUAAUAUAGGGGCAAGGUUGCAGGGCCCAGCAACAACAUGGUAUAAAGCAUAAAUAAGGCAGCAAGCUUUAUGAAAUAAAAAUCAGCUGAAACAUAUGAUGAACUGCAUAAAAACUGUACUGACAUGCAAUUUUAAUGGCAUUAUCUAUCAAAACGAACCAAAAUGAAACAAAAGCAAUGUAACAAGCCAGUUCUUUUCAAAGUAAUGAUUUGUCUUGAAACAACAAGCUUGAAACUAGA